GGGCCGUUAGCUCAGUCGGUAGAGCAGCUGACUUUUAAUCAGCGGGUCGCUGGUUCGAACCCAGCACGGCUCA
Molecule: transfer RNA, 73 nt
Filed under: Sphingomonas kaistensis
Lineage: Bacteria; Pseudomonadati; Pseudomonadota; Alphaproteobacteria; Sphingomonadales; Sphingomonadaceae
Also listed under: 2 other names
Rfam family: tRNA
About the family: Transfer RNA (tRNA) molecules are approximately 80 nucleotides in length. Their secondary structure includes four short double-helical elements and three loops (D, anti-codon, and T loops).
Source: Rfam by way of RNAcentral